CCCUACACGACCGUACCGCAAACCGACACUGGUGCGCGAGAUGAGUAUUCUAAGGCGCUUGAGAGAACUCAGGAGAAGGAACUCGGCAAAUUGACACCGUAACUUCGGAAGGAGGUGUGCCUUUAGUAGGUGAACCAUUUACUUGGGGAGCCCAAUGAGGCUGCAAAAAAUCGGUGGCUGCAACUGUUUGUUAAAAACACAGCACUCUGCUAAGACGAAAGUCGACGUAUAGGGUGUGACGCCUGCCCGGUGCUGGAAGAUUAAAUGAUGGGGUGCAAGCACUUGAUUGAAGUCCCAGUAAACGGCGGCCGUAACUAUAACGGUCCUAAGGUAGCGAAAUUCCUUGUCGGGUAAGUUCCGACCUGCACGAAUGGCGUAAUGAUGGCCACACUGUCUCCUCCUGAGACUCAGCGAAGUUGAAAUGUUUGUGAUGAUGCAAUCUCCCCGCGGAAAGACGGAAAGACCCCAUGAACCUUUACUGUAGCUUUGUAUUGGACUUUGAACAGAUCUGUGUAGGAUAGGUGGGAGGCUUUGAAGUGUGGUCGCUAGAUCGCAUGGAGCCAACGUUGAAAUACCACCCUGGUGUGUUUGAGGUUCUAACCUAGGUCCAUUAUCUGGAUCGGGGACAGUGCAUGGUAGGCAGUUUGACUGGGGCGGUCUCCUCCCAAAGUGUAACGGAGGAGUUCGAAGGUACGCUAGGUACGGUCGGACAUCGUGCUAAUAGUGCAAUGGCAUAAGCGUGCUUAACUGCGAGACUGACAAGUCGAGCAGAUGCGAAAGCAGGACAUAGUGAUCCGGUGGUUCUGUAUGGAAGGGCCAUCGCUCAACGGAUAAAAGGUACUCUGGGGAUAACAGGCUGAUACCGCCCAAGAGUUCAUAUCGACGGCGGUGUUUGGCACCUCGAUGUCGGCUCAUCUCAUCCUGGGGCUGUAGCCGGUCCCAAGGGUAUGGCUGUUCGCCAUUUAAAGAGGUACGUGAGCUGGGUUUAAAACGUCGUGAGACAGUUUGGUCCCUAUCUUCCGUGGGCGCUGCAGAUUUGAGGAAGCCUGCUCCUAGUACGAGAGGACCGGAGUGGACGAACCUCUGGUGUAUCGGUUGUCACGCCAGUGGCAUUGCCGAGUAGCUAAGUUCGGAAGAGAUAACCGCUGAAAGCAUCUAAGUGGGAAACUCGUUUCAAGAUUAGAUCUGCCGGGGCCUUGAGCCCCCUAAAGAGUCGUUCAAGACCAGGACGUUGAUAGGUCAGGUGUGGAAGC
This 1253-nucleotide ribosomal RNA is filed under the name metagenome. RNAcentral's name for it is "bacterial LSU rRNA". It matches the Rfam family "Bacterial large subunit ribosomal RNA", at positions 1632 to 2874 of the family's 2925-position model. The record is from RNAcentral.